GAUGAAGAACGCAGCGAAAUGCGAUAAGUAAUGUGAAUUGCAGAAUUCAGUGAAUCAUCGAAUCUUUGAACGCACAUUGCGCCCGCCAGUAUUCUGGUGGGCAUGCCUGUUCGAGCGUCAUUUCAACCAUCAAGCCCCCGGCUUGUGUUGGGGACCUGCGGCUGCCGCAGGCCCUGAAAACCAGUGGCGGGCUCGCUGUCACACCGAGCGUAGUAGAUUUUCAUCUCGCUCAGGGCGUGCUGCGGGUUCCGGCCGUAAAAAGCCUUAUUUACCCAAGGUUGACCUCGGAUCAGGUAGGAAGACCCGCUGAACUUAAGCAUAUCAAUAAGCGGAGGA
Molecule: unclassified non-coding RNA, 336 nt
Filed under: soil metagenome
Description: partial contains 5.8S ribosomal RNA, internal transcribed spacer 2, and large subunit ribosomal RNA
Rfam family: 5.8S ribosomal RNA (bases 1-120)
Source: RNAcentral